RNAcentral lists this ribosomal RNA (116 nucleotides) under uncultured bacterium. RNAcentral describes it as "partial 16S ribosomal RNA". It matches the Rfam family "Bacterial small subunit ribosomal RNA", at positions 1357 to 1482 of the family's 1533-position model. The record is from RNAcentral.
ACGCGGUGAAUACGUUCCCGGGCCUUGUACACACCGCCCGUCAAGCCAUGGAAGUUGGGGGUACCUAAAGUAUGUAACCGCAAGGAGCGUCCUAGGGUAAACCGAUAACUGGGGCU